ACGAUGGAAUCAUGAAAUUAUGAAGUUGACAUCAAAUGUUUGAGCAACUAAAUACUGCAUUGGCAUUUAUGCACCUAAAUCAAUCAUAGGCAAAAACAUUAACAUAGGAAAAUAGCUAACUCGCUCGAGUUUCCUCAAAAGCCCGGUAAAGAGCAGCACAAAAGGGCGAGUGACAAAAGAAUCUCCUCAGCAAACAUCGGAUCUCUUUCGAUUAUGUGCUUAUGACUCUAGCCUUACUAGCACCAUAAUGGGGUCGCCGCUAAUCUACGA
RNAcentral lists this unclassified non-coding RNA (270 nucleotides) under Hevea brasiliensis (rubber tree). Lineage: Eukaryota; Viridiplantae; Streptophyta; Magnoliopsida; Malpighiales; Euphorbiaceae. The record is from RNAcentral.